Molecule: ribosomal RNA, 226 nt
Filed under: uncultured bacterium
Lineage: Bacteria
Description: partial 16S ribosomal RNA
Rfam family: Bacterial small subunit ribosomal RNA
Source: RNAcentral
GCGUUGUUCGGAUUUACUGGGCGUAAAGGGCGCGUAGGCGGCCAGUGCAAGUCAGUUGUGAAAUCUCCGAGCUUAACUCGGAAAGGUCAACUGAUACUGCUCGGCUAGAGUGCGGAAGGGGCAACUGGAAUUCUUGGUGUAGCGGUGAAAUGCGUAGAUAUCAAGAGGAACACCUGCGGCGAAGGCGGGUUGCUGGGCCGACACUGACGCUGAGGCGCGAAAGCUA